CAGGUCUUGACAUCCUUUGACCACUCUAGAGAUAGAGCUUCCCCUUCGGGGGCAAAGUGACAGGUGGUGCAUGGUUGUCGUCAGCUCGUGUCGUGAGAUGUUGGGUUAAGUCCCGCAACGAGCGCAACCCUUAUUGUUAGUUGCCAUCAUUUAGUUGGGCACUCUAGCGAGACUGCCGGUGACAAACCGGAGGAAGGUGGGGAUGACGUCAAAUCAUCAUGCCCCUUAUGACCUGGGCUACACACGUGCUACAAUGGGAAGUACAACGAGUUGCGAAGUCGCGAGGCUAAGCUAAUCUCUUAAAGCUUCUCUCAGUUCGGAUUGUAGGCUGCAACUCGCCUACAUGAAGCCGGAAUCGCUAGUAAUCGCGGAUCAGCACGCCGCGGUGAAUACGUUCCC
Molecule: ribosomal RNA, 399 nt
Filed under: uncultured Enterococcus sp.
Lineage: Bacteria; Bacillati; Bacillota; Bacilli; Lactobacillales; Enterococcaceae
Description: bacterial SSU rRNA
Rfam family: Bacterial small subunit ribosomal RNA
Source: RNAcentral